GGAAUGAUGAACAGUAAUCACUACAAUGAUGUUUGUUGAUUAUAACAUAUCCUCUAAGAAGUUCUGACCAU
This is a small nucleolar RNA of Actinia tenebrosa (Australian red waratah sea anemone), 71 nucleotides long. RefSeq annotates it as small nucleolar RNA SNORD61. The record is from RefSeq and is a predicted model, not a curated record. Lineage: Eukaryota; Metazoa; Cnidaria; Anthozoa; Actiniaria; Actiniidae.